GUGAGGAAUUUUCCGCAAUGGGCGAAAGCCUGACGGAGCAAUGCCGCGUGAAGGAUGAAGGCCUAUGGGUUGUAAACUUCUUUUCUCAGAAAAGAAUUAUGACGGUAUCUGAGGAAUAAGCAUCGGCUAACUCUGUGCCAGCAGCCGCGGUAAGACAGAGGAUGCAAGCGUUAUCCGGAAUGAUUGGGCGUAAAGCGUCUGUAGGUUGUUUAAAAAGUAUUCUGUCAAAGAUUAGGGCUUAACCCUAGAUAGGCAGAAUAAACUUUUAAGCUAGAGGUUGGUAGCAGCAGAGGGAAUUCCCGGUGGAGCGGUGAAAUGCGUAGAUAUCGGGAGGAACACCAAAGGCGAAGGCACGCUGCCGGGCCAAUACUAACACUGAGAGACGAAAGCGAGAGGAGCAAAUGGGAUUAGAUACCCGGGUAGUCC
Molecule: ribosomal RNA, 426 nt
Filed under: uncultured bacterium
Lineage: Bacteria
Description: partial 16S ribosomal RNA
Rfam family: Bacterial small subunit ribosomal RNA
Source: RNAcentral